GUGCCAGCCGGCCGCGGUAAUACGGAGGGUGCAAGCGUUAAUCGGAAUUACUGGGCGUAAAGAGUGCGUAGGUGGUUGGAUAAGUUAUCUGUGAAAUCCCUGGGCUUAACCUGGGCAGGUCAGAUAAUACUGUUUAACUCGAGUAUGGGAGAGGGUAGUGGAAUUUCCGGUGUAGCGGUGAAAUGCGUAGAGAUCGGAAGGAACACCAGUGGCGAAGGCGGCUACCUGGCCUAAUACUGACACUGAGGCACGAAAGCGUGGGGAGCAAACAGG
This 273-nucleotide ribosomal RNA is filed under the name uncultured bacterium. RNAcentral describes it as "partial 16S ribosomal RNA". It matches the Rfam family "Bacterial small subunit ribosomal RNA", at positions 505 to 776 of the family's 1533-position model. The record is from RNAcentral.